Molecule: ribosomal RNA, 1779 nt
Filed under: Escherichia coli
Lineage: Bacteria; Pseudomonadati; Pseudomonadota; Gammaproteobacteria; Enterobacterales; Enterobacteriaceae
Description: 23S ribosomal RNA
Rfam family: Bacterial large subunit ribosomal RNA
Source: RNAcentral
UGUGAGCUCGAUGAGUAGGGCGGGACACGUGGUAUCCUGUCUGAAUAUGGGGGGACCAUCCUCCAAGGCUAAAUACUCCUGACUGACCGAUAGUGAACCAGUACCGUGAGGGAAAGGCGAAAAGAACCCCGGCGAGGGGAGUGAAAAAGAACCUGAAACCGUGUACGUACAAGCAGUGGGAGCACGCUUAGGCGUGUGACUGCGUACCUUUUGUAUAAUGGGUCAGCGACUUAUAUUCUGUAGCAAGGUUAACCGAAUAGGGGAGCCGAAGGGAAACCGAGUCUUAACUGGGCGUUAAGUUGCAGGGUAUAGACCCGAAACCCGGUGAUCUAGCCAUGGGCAGGUUGAAGGUUGGGUAACACUAACUGGAGGACCGAACCGACUAAUGUUGAAAAAUUAGCGGAUGACUUGUGGCUGGGGGUGAAAGGCCAAUCAAACCGGGAGAUAGCUGGUUCUCCCCGAAAGCUAUUUAGGUAGCGCCUCGUGAAUUCAUCUCCGGGGGUAGAGCACUGUUUCGGCAAGGGGGUCAUCCCGACUUACCAACCCGAUGCAAACUGCGAAUACCGGAGAAUGUUAUCACGGGAGACACACGGCGGGUGCUAACGUCCGUCGUGAAGAGGGAAACAACCCAGACCGCCAGCUAAGGUCCCAAAGUCAUGGUUAAGUGGGAAACGAUGUGGGAAGGCCCAGACAGCCAGGAUGUUGGCUUAGAAGCAGCCAUCAUUUAAAGAAAGCGUAAUAGCUCACUGGUCGAGUCGGCCUGCGCGGAAGAUGUAACGGGGCUAAACCAUGCACCGAAGCUGCGGCAGCGACGCUUAUGCGUUGUUGGGUAGGGGAGCGUUCUGUAAGCCUGUGAAGGUGUGCUGUGAGGCAUGCUGGAGGUAUCAGAAGUGCGAAUGCUGACAUAAGUAACGAUAAAGCGGGUGAAAAGCCCGCUCGCCGGAAGACCAAGGGUUCCUGUCCAACGUUAAUCGGGGCAGGGUGAGUCGACCCCUAAGGCGAGGCCGAAAGGCGUAGUCGAUGGGAAACAGGUUAAUAUUCCUGUACUUGGUGUUACUGCGAAGGGGGGACGGAGAAGGCUAUGUUGGCCGGGCGACGGUUGUCCCGGUUUAAGCGUGUAGGCUGGUUUUCCAGGCAAAUCCGGAAAAUCAAGGCUGAGGCGUGAUGACGAGGCACUACGGUGCUGAAGCAACAAAUGCCCUGCUUCCAGGAAAAGCCUCUAAGCAUCAGGUAACAUCAAAUCGUACCCCAAACCGACACAGGUGGUCAGGUAGAGAAUACCAAGGCGCUUGAGAGAACUCGGGUGAAGGAACUAGGCAAAAUGGUGCCGUAACUUCGGGAGAAGGCACGCUGAUAUGUAGGUGAAGUCCCUUGCGGAUGGAGCUGAAAUCAGUCGAAGAUACCAGCUGGCUGCAACUGUUUAUUAAAAACACAGCACUGUGCAAACACGAAAGUGGACGUAUACGGUGUGACGCCUGCCCGGUGCCGGAAGGUUAAUUGAUGGGGUCAGCGCAAGCGAAGCUCUUGAUCGAAGCCCCGGUAAACGGCGGCCGUAACUAUAACGGUCCUAAGGUAGCGAAAUUCCUUGUCGGGUAAGUUCCGACCUGCACGAAUGGCGUAAUGAUGGCCAGGCUGUCUCCACCCGAGACUCAGUGAAAUUGAACUCGCUGUGAAGAUGCAGUGUACCCGCGGCAAGACGGAAAGACCCCGUGAACCUUUACUAUAGCUUGACACUGAACAUUGAGCCUUGAUGUGUAGGAUAGGUGGGAGGCUUUGAAG